GAUGAACGCUGGCGGCGUGCCUAAUACAUGCAAGUCGAGCGAACGGACGAGAAGCUUGCUUUUCUGAUGUUAGCGGCGGACGGGUGAGUAACACGUGGAUAACCUACCUAUAAGACUGGGAUAACUUCGGGAAACCGGAGCUAAUACCGGAUAAUAUUUUGAACCGCAUGGUUCAAAAGUGAAAGACGGUCUUGCUGUCACUUAUAGAUGGAUCCGCGCUGCAUUAGCUAGUUGGUAAGGUAACGGCUUACCAAGGCAACGAUGCAUAGCCGACCUGAGAGGGUGAUCGGCCACACUGGAACUGAGACACGGUCCAGACUCCUACGGGAGGCAGCAGUAGGGAAUCUUCCGCAAUGGGCGAAAGCCUGACGGAGCAACGCCGCGUGAGUGAUGAAGGUCUUCGGAUCGUAAAACUCUGUUAUUAGGGAAGAACAUAUGUGUAAGUAACUGUGCACAUCUUGACGGUACCUAAUCAGAAAGCCACGGCUAACUACGUGCCAGCAGCCGCGGUAAUACGUAGGUGGCAAGCGUUAUCCGGAAUUAUUGGGCGUAAAGCGCGCGUAGGCGGUUUUUUAAGUCUGAUGUGAAAGCCCACGGCUCAACCGUGGAGGGUCAUUGGAAACUGGAAAACUUGAGUGCAGAAGAGGAAAGUGGAAUUCCAUGUGUAGCGGUGAAAUGCGCAGAGAUAUGGAGGAACACCAGUGGCGAAGGCGACUUUCUGGUCUGUAACUGACGCUGAUGUGCGAAAGCGUGGGGAUCAAACAGGAUUAGAUACCCUGGUAGUCCACGCCGUAAACGAUGAGUGCUAAGUGUUAGGGGGUUUCCGCCCCUUAGUGCUGCAGCUAACGCAUUAAGCACUCCGCCUGGGGAGUACGACCGCAAGGUUGAAACUCAAAGGAAUUGACGGGGACCCGCACAAGCGGUGGAGCAUGUGGUUUAAUUCGAAGCAACGCGAAGAACCUUACCAAAUCUUGACAUCCUUUGACAACUCUAGAGAUAGAGCCUUCCCCUUCGGGGGACAAAGUGACAGGUGGUGCAUGGUUGUCGUCAGCUCGUGCCGUGAGAUGUUGGGUUAAGUCCCGCAACGAGCGCAACCCUUAAGCUUAGUUGCCAUCAUUAAGUUGGGCACUCUAAGUUGACUGCCGGUGACAAACCGGAGGAAGGUGGGGAUGACGUCAAAUCAUCAUGCCCCUUAUGAUUUGGGCUACACACGUGCUACAAUGGACAAUACAAAGGGCAGCGAAACCGCGAGGUCAAGCAAAUCCCAUAAAGUUGUUCUCAGUUCGGAUUGUAGUCUGCAACUCGACUACAUGAAGCUGGAAUCGCUAGUAAUCGUAGAUCAGCACGCUACGGUGAAUACGUUCCCGGGUCU
RNAcentral lists this ribosomal RNA (1372 nucleotides) under uncultured bacterium. Its description in RNAcentral is "bacterial SSU rRNA". It matches the Rfam family "Bacterial small subunit ribosomal RNA", at positions 28 to 1381 of the family's 1533-position model. The record is from RNAcentral.